Molecule: ribosomal RNA, 497 nt
Filed under: uncultured bacterium
Lineage: Bacteria
Description: partial 16S ribosomal RNA
Rfam family: Bacterial small subunit ribosomal RNA
Source: RNAcentral
GAUGAACGCUGGCGGCGUGCCUAAUACAUGCAAGUCGAGCGAACGGACGAGAAGCUUUCUUCUCUGAUGUUAGCGGCGGACGGGUGAGUAACACGUGGAUAACCUACCUAUAAGACUGGGAUAACUUCGGGAAACUGGAGCUAAUACCGGAUAAUAUUUUGAACCGCAUGGUUCAAAAGUGAAAGACGGUCUUGCUGUCACUUAUAGAUGGAUCCGCGCUGCAUUAGCUAGUUGGUAAGGUAACGGCUUACCAAGGCAACGAUGCAUAGCCGACCUGAGAGGGUGAUCGGCCACACUGGAACUGAGACACGGUCCAGACUCCUACGGGAGGCAGCAGUAGGGAAUAUUCCGCAAUGGGCGAAAGCCUGACGGAGCAACGCCGCGUGAGUGAUGAAGGUCUUCGGAUCGUAAAACUCUGUUAUUAGGGAAGAACAUAUGUGUAAGUAACUGUGCACAUCUUGACGGUACCUAAUCAGAAAGCCACGGCUAACUACGUG